AAUAUCCAUCUUUGCCUUAGCUUGUUUCGAGGGCUGACAUGUUGCCAAUCAGCACGAGUGCCAAAAACUUGGGCAAACUGCGAUCCGAGAGUAAACUCGCACAUAAGGCGGUAGCAUCUCGCAGACUCCAAAUAGAGUUCUAUUUAACUAAAAGCCAAAAAGCACCGACAGAGGCUUCUAUUCUCCCCCGACUGAGACCGCGUUUCUUGCCUACGCUCACAAAUGCAUUUGUCUUGCCGAAAAGCCCGCAGCCAUGCAGCAAAAAGGAGAUACAGAGCCCGAACUAAUCCUCAAUUAGGGAUGGCAGUGUAAGAAAAGCGGUCCUAAGUAAUUUUAUCAAAGUUCAAUGCAACACCAAAAUAUAAAAUAUAUUGUUUCCUUUUCUUCCUUAAGUUCUGCAAAUAACAUAUUAAAGAAAUUUGGUAAGCUAAGAUCAGCUGACUGGAUUUAUUUCAAAUAUUUAUGACUACCCAGCCAUAUUAUAGUAUAUAAACUCUAAAACGUUUUAGAAACAAAUCCAGCCUGGUAGUACAAAAUGUAGAAAGUGUCAUAAGUUCAACUUAUAAUAGUUUGAUAAUACAAAAUAUUACAGAAAGCAAAGAUGCUGCUGCUCUCAUUUUGUGAAUUUAGAUAUCAUUUUUGUGGACCCACUGUAUCCUAAGGAUUUUAGCGGUUCCGGCUGACUCAUUCGCACUCCAGCUCGCAGAUAACCUGGCCAAAAAAGAAGAUUCCCAGCUAAAAGCAAGCCAGCAUAGAAAUGGACCAAGGGAAAGCAAACCGAAAAGAGGAGACUAACGAAAAAUUCGGAUCCACGCCCCGGUAAUUCAACGUGGACCAGUCUUGAACCAAAUUGGACACCAAUCUAUGCCACCAGAUCCUUUGCCGAAAUAAACAUUUCGCAACAAAAACUAAACCUAACCAAUGGCGACCACAUUGAAACAAAUAACAUGGCCAACAACAACGGCAACUGGUUAUAACUGCAACAUCUGUUUGAACAAAUAAGCAAAACACGGAAAUGUAGUUGGCUGCUUUGCCCCACCACGCCCAUCCAGAAAUUGUUGUAGAAUUCAGGUCUCGGAGAAUAGAACCUACAGUCGUAUUACAAAAAAAUUAUUUUAAAAUCCCUACUUAAAAUAAAACAAAUCAUUAUUUUUAAUAUUCCCUAAAUUAAAUAUUACUUU
Drosophila subpulchrella is the source of this 1181-nucleotide long non-coding RNA. RefSeq lists it as uncharacterized. NCBI's taxonomy places the organism in Eukaryota, Metazoa, Arthropoda, Insecta, Diptera, Drosophilidae. The transcript is spliced from 3 exons. The record is from RefSeq and is a predicted model, not a curated record.